Molecule: long non-coding RNA, 1004 nt
Organism: Harmonia axyridis
Lineage: Eukaryota; Metazoa; Arthropoda; Insecta; Coleoptera; Coccinellidae
Exons: 3
Source: RefSeq, a predicted model, not a curated record
AUAUAGAGGAGAAACUGAGGUACUAAACUCUGAAACAGUAAUUUAGUUCCACCAACACCUUCCAGAGACCGCUCUCAUCGCUGAUUUUCUGUUUACCUCGAGAAAUAUUUACUUAACCUCUAAAAUUUUCAGUUGAUCCGUCGAACCUUAUUUUUGGUAAGAGAUUUAUUAUGUCGCAGUCAACUUUGAAAUCCAACAAAUAUUGUGUUCCUAACUGUGGAGAUAUGUAUAGUAAACGUCAUCGUUUUCGAAUGAAGAGAAGCAGCCAACAAUUUUCAAACUUUGGCUCGAAAAAGUUAGUUAUCCAUUGCUCAACUCUAAAACUCCUCAACAAAUUUGUAAGAAGUGAAAUUAGAUAACCUUAAAGGAAUUUGGCAACUGCUAUCCCUGAAUUAUUUUUUCCUGGAUCUUCAAAUCAAGGGGAAGAUGGAGAAGUUCAUGACACUGAAGGAAUACAUCUCCAAAGUGAUGUUGAGAGGGAAGUAUCAACAGAGACUUUGAAGAAUUUUAAGCACCCUCAGAAAACUUCAAUAAUAUAUAGAAAAAGAUAUCGAGGACAACAAUUAAUUGACAAUAGAGGCUGUGGGCACUGCAGAGCUGAUCAUUUUUAUGGAUAAGCUGUUUGAUAGCCUGAAUAUGCAAUUGUGAAGGACACAUUAAAAUUUUUGGCAUACUAGAAAUAUUUAAAAAAAUGUAAAAUUUUAAAUAGAUGAUUUUUUUAUAUGAAUUUGUGUUUUCUCUGAACUUAAGCCUCUAUUCUUGUCAAAUAUAUUGGAUGUGAAAGAACUCGUACAGGAAUAUAAUGGUAAUAUAGCUCAUUCAAAAAGAAAUGCUUAUUACCUUAUUUUCGUACGUUGUUUAUUUUCACAUUCAAAAUCUUGAAUUGAAUUGAAAUAUUUUCAAUACGAAGCAUUUCAAAUUUUCGCGCGCUCAUUUUAUAAUUUCACAAACAACCUCAUGAGGUCGCUGAAAGCAGUGUUAAUUUUAUCAUGAGAGUUUCCAUU